UCAGCCGCCGCGGUAAUACCGGCGGCCCGAGUGGCGGUCACUAUUAUUUGGCUUAAAGCGUCCGUAGCCGGGGUGGGAAGUCCUCCGGGAAAUCUGGCCGCUUAACGGUCAGAAUGCCGGAGGAUACUCCCAGCCUAGGGAGCGGGAGAGGCCGAGGGGAUUCCCGGAGUAGGGGUGAAAUCCUAUAAUCCCGGGAGGAGCACCUGUGGCGGAGGCGCUCGGCUGGGACGCGUCCGACGGUGAGGGACGAAGGCCAGGGGAGCAAACCGGAUUAGAUACCCGGGUAGUCCUGGCUGUAAACGAUGCGGACUUUGUGUCGGACAAGCUAUGAGCUUGUCCGGUGCCGGAGGGAAACCGUUAAGUCCGCCGCCUGGGGAGUACGGCCGCAAGGCUGAAACUUAAAGGAAUUGGCGGG
This 415-nucleotide ribosomal RNA is filed under the name uncultured microorganism. RNAcentral describes it as "bacterial SSU rRNA". It matches the Rfam family "Archaeal small subunit ribosomal RNA", at positions 458 to 872 of the family's 1478-position model. The record is from RNAcentral.